UACGGAGGAUGCGAGCGUUAUCCGGAUUUAUUGGGUUUAAAGGGUGCGUAGGCGGAUUUUUAAGUCAGCGGUAAAAUGUCCGGGCUCAACCCGGGCCGGCCGUUGAAACUGGGGAUCUUGAGUGGGCGAGAAGUACGCGGAAUGCGCGGUGUAGCGGUGAAAUGCUUAGAUAUCGCGCAGAACCCCGAUUGCGAAGGCAGCGUACCGGCUCCACACUGACGCUGAGGCACGAAAGCGUGGGUAUCGAACAGG
RNAcentral lists this ribosomal RNA (252 nucleotides) under uncultured Bacteroidales bacterium. RNAcentral's name for it is "partial 16S ribosomal RNA". It matches the Rfam family "Bacterial small subunit ribosomal RNA", at positions 524 to 776 of the family's 1533-position model. The record is from RNAcentral. Lineage: Bacteria; Pseudomonadati; Bacteroidota; Bacteroidia; Bacteroidales.